RNAcentral lists this ribosomal RNA (425 nucleotides) under uncultured bacterium. RNAcentral's name for it is "bacterial SSU rRNA". It matches the Rfam family "Bacterial small subunit ribosomal RNA", at positions 356 to 773 of the family's 1533-position model. The record is from RNAcentral.
GGGGAAUUUUGGACAAUGGGGGCAACCCUGAUCCAGCCAUGCCGCGUGCGGGAAGAAGGCCUUCGGGUUGUAAACCGCUUUCGGACGGAAAGAAAUCGCAUGGACUAAUACUCUGUGUGGAUGACGGUACCGUAAGAAGAAGCACCGGCUAACUACGUGCCAGCAGCCGCGGUAAUACGUAGGGUGCGAGCGUUAAUCGGAAUUACUGGGCGUAAAGCGUGCGCAGGCGGUUUCUUAAGCCAGACGUGAAAUCCCCGGGCUUAACCUGGGAACUGCGUUUGGGACUGGGAGACUAGAGUGUGUCAGAGGGAGGUGGAAUUUCGCGUGUAGCAGUGAAAUGCGUAGAUAUGCGGAGGAACACCGAUGGCGAAGGCAGCCUCCUGGGAUAACACUGACGCUCAUGCACGAAAGCGUGGGGAGCAAAC